UGACUGAAAUGAAUGAGCAUCAAAUCGAGG
This 30-nucleotide non-coding RNA is filed under the name Mus musculus (house mouse). The record is from RNAcentral. Lineage: Eukaryota; Metazoa; Chordata; Mammalia; Rodentia; Muridae.